Molecule: long non-coding RNA, 874 nt
Organism: Hemicordylus capensis (graceful crag lizard)
Lineage: Eukaryota; Metazoa; Chordata; Lepidosauria; Squamata; Cordylidae
Exons: 3
Source: RefSeq, a predicted model, not a curated record
CACAGACACAGUGCAAAAGGAGACACAGCUAUUGUCGUCCACAGAGCAUGUGAUCCUGGUCUUUUUUUCUCCCUGUCUAUCCAUCUGUCUCCUGUCUUUGCAUCUAUCUAUCAUUCCUCCCCCUCCCUUUUUUUGAAAUAAAUUUUUAACAGCCAUACAAGAGCCAGAAGAGAUAAUGUUAGCACAAUUUUUUUUUUUGCUUCCACUUCCUUGGAGGAUGACCUACAAUAAAUCUCCUUAGCAGCAAUCAUUUUCCUUAAUACAGAUGACUUCGGCUCAACCAACGGCAGAUUGCUCCCUGGGUGCGGCAGUGUGAAGAGAGACUGACCAUGCCCAACCUUGCAACAGUUGUGCUAAUGAAGAAAGGAGGGACUUCUGGCUCAAGCUAGGUAAAGUGUUGUUAUAUGAAGAUUGAACUAGACCACUUCUGCUAUCAUAAUCCCUCAAGGAAAGACCUCUUAUCUUCUAAACAGUUGCGUCCAACUGGAUUUAUCCGUCCGAAAGAAAAGGAGUAAAGCAUCAUUUACAUAAAUAACAUGGAGUCAAAUAACGAUCAGGGAUGACUAAGUGCUUCGAAGCUGACACAUUAAAUCAAUCAGCGAGACCUGUGUGGAUGAGAAAUGGGUUGGCUAUCGCCUCAACAGCCCCCAUCAUGCCAUAAUAUCACUCUAGUUCAUGAUGAAGUAACAAAAUGUUCAAUGUUCAUGGAACAGCUGCUUUCAUAAGGACAGAAAUAAUGAAAAGCGCUCCCAGAAUUCUUCAAUACUUAUGUAGCAAAACAAAUUUUUCAGAGAGAAAAUUAAAAUGCCAAGAAGAUUUAUCCUUCCUUGUGUAUAUGUCCUGCAGUCCAGAACAUGUGGGAAGGAAGGAUGGA